UAAUCGUUUAUUGUCUCUGGCGGAUCUCGGUCCGCAAGCAUACACUUUGUAUUAUUUUAGUCUAUAACUUUUAAUGAAAAUUAAAACAACUUUUGACAACGGAUCUCUAGGCUCUCACAACGAUGAAGAACGCAGCGAAAUGCGAUAAGUAAUGUGAAUUGCAGAAUUCCGUGAAUCAUUAAAUCUUUGAACGCACAUUGCGCCCUCUGGUAUUCCUAAGGGCAUGCCUGUUUGAGAAUCAGUUUAAUCAUCAAAUCUAUAGGGUAAAAACUAUAGGCUUGGAUCUGGGACUUGUCGAUAGACUGUCUCUAAUAACAUUUGUUGCGACUCUAUAGCGAGACUAUAUGAAAAGCAUGACCAUUGAACGCAAGUUCUUAUGAUUGCCUGUAGUAUCUUUAAGCUAUUGACUAGUACAGAACAAACACGAAGACUAACCAUCUUUAAGACUUGAUCUCAAAUCAGACAAGACUACCCGCUGAACUUAA
This 485-nucleotide ribosomal RNA is filed under the name uncultured fungus. RNAcentral describes it as "eukaryotic LSU rRNA". The stretch from base 88 to 241 matches the Rfam family "5.8S ribosomal RNA". Lineage: Eukaryota; Fungi. The record is from RNAcentral.